UAGAUUUUUACUCCUUUCUGACAAAUUAAAAAGUGUUUUUUUUUUUGAUUGCUUUCUUUAAAGAAAGUGUAAAGAGAAACAAUUCCAAAAAAACAGAUACAGGGAAAAAAAACACCAUAAGCUUCAGAGCCAGAAAUACAACUUUCUUCUCCCAGAUCAGCAUCUAAGUACACCAAAAAAUUGGAUAAAGUCUACAGGCAUUUAUUACGAAGCUAGGUAUCAAUUCCAGAACAAGAUUCAUGGUAAUAAUUCUUGUUUAAUAAUACGUAUGCAGUAGUUUCUCAUGAGAAAUUUAAAUUUAACUUUCUUUGUAUAAUGAUUCAUGAACGAAUUUGGUUUUGUUGGCAGGCCUGCAUUAAAGAAAGUGACUUGCACCAAAAGGGAAAAGGAUAUUUUAAGAAUGUUUGCUAGUUGUCUAUUGUACCAGAACCCAGAGCAGUUUCUGCUGGGAUGUUAUUUUUAAACUCUGUUGCAUUUAUAACAUGCAGGCUAUAUGACUCAUCAAAACUUAAAAGAAAAGAAAAUCUUUUUUCUGUGUUCACUUUAAAGAUAUUGGUCUAACUUGGCAAGCAGAAGUUAUCUGAAAGCACCAGAAGGACAGCAUUGUUUCAAGACUAUGCAAAUCAAGUGUGGGAAAGUUGCACCUUAAGUAAAUAAGAGCACUAGUGCAUGUCUGGGCAGUGAGUGGGAGGACAGAAUGGACUUCAAAGCACAGCAGCAAAAUUCUGCAUUCAUCAGAGCCUACUGACAAGAUUUUAUCCCAGCUAUUAACCUCUCAGCACUCGGAGCCUGGCUCACAAUGGUCAACUGGCCCACUCUCCCCAUCUUUCCAUCUAAUUCAAAGCAACUUUUAACAACUCUGGGUUUACUUUUACCUCUCUCUGAACAGACAGAAUAUUAAGACGAGCAUCUAUUCAAAUUGCAGGUAAACUCAGUCAGCAAGACAUGCUGAUAGUCUGUUCCUAUUCAGAGUCGUGCUUUCUCAUUCUGAAAUUACUUCGGAAGUUGCCAUUCCCUAAUAAACAUGUUAAACAUCAGCUCAGGUAGAACAAACAGCCUGGGAUUUUUCAAACACCAAAGCUUUGCACUUGCCAGGUCAGCUCUAAAACAAGUCUCUCCUUCCUGCUUGUCUUGAAGUUCUGCACCAAAGGGGAAAUCCUGCCAUUGAAGUCAGCAGCAGAACUGCCAUUGAAGUUAAUGGGCUGGGUUUUCUUCCCAAGGGCAAAGAUGUGGAUACUCAGAGAAACACAUCUGCUAAGUAGCCAGUACUAGUCAGAUCUCUCCAAUAUUUUAAAACAAGGCAGAAACUAGUCUUCUCCUGCCCCUAGUUCUCUGUGCAAUAAGUUACUCACUGUCCCAUCAAUCCUCAGCCCUGUUAUCAGGGCAAACUGAUCACCGAAUCGCAGCCUGAAUACGAAGCAUUCGAGUCCUAUCCAAGACUACUGAUAAUUUGGGGUUCGGGCACUCGUC
Cygnus olor (mute swan) is the source of this 1470-nucleotide long non-coding RNA. RefSeq lists it as uncharacterized. The transcript has 3 exons. Lineage: Eukaryota; Metazoa; Chordata; Aves; Anseriformes; Anatidae. The record is from RefSeq and is a predicted model, not a curated record.